Molecule: ribosomal RNA, 484 nt
Filed under: Austropyrgus rectus
Lineage: Eukaryota; Metazoa; Mollusca; Gastropoda; Littorinimorpha; Tateidae
Description: partial 16S ribosomal RNA
Rfam family: Bacterial large subunit ribosomal RNA
Source: RNAcentral
UAAAAAAUAAAGAGUCGAGCCUGCCCAGUGAUAGAUAUUUAACGGCCGCGGUACUCUGACCGUGCAAAGGUAGCAUAAUCAUUUGCCUUAUAAUUGAAGGCUAGUAUGAAUGGUUUGACGAAAACAAUACUGUCUCUUUUUAAUUUUAUAAAAUUUGAUUUUUAGGUGAAGAAGCCUAAAUAAAAUUGAAAGACAAGAAGACCCUAUCGAGCUUAAAAAAAUUUUGUUAAAAUAAAAUGGCUAUAAAAGACCACCUAUAACAAAAAAUUUUAGUUGGGGCGACUAAGGAACAAAAAAGCUUCCGCUUUAUUAUAAAAGCUUAUAAGCUAUGAUCCAAAAUUCUUGAUUAAAAAAAUUAGCUACCGUAGGGAUAACAGCAUAAUCUUUUUUGAGAGUUCUUAUCGAAAAAUAGGUUUGUGACCUCGAUGUUGGACUAGAAUAUCCUAAAUGAUGCAGAAGUCUUUAAGGGUUGGUCUGUUCGACC